UACGUAGGGCGCAAGCGUUGUCCGGAAUUAUUGGGCGUAAAGAGCUCGUAGGCGGUUUGUCGCGUCUGUCGUGAAAGCUUGGGGCUUAACCCCAAGUCUGCGGUGGAUACGGGCAGACUAGAGGCAGGUAGGGGAGAACGGAAUUCCCGGUGUAGCGGUGAAAUGCGUAGAGAUCCGGAGGAACGCCUGAAGCGAAAGCGGCUACCUGGUCCUGUCCUGACACUGAGGUGCGAAAGCGUGGGGAGCGAACCGG
This 253-nucleotide ribosomal RNA is filed under the name uncultured bacterium. RNAcentral describes it as "partial 16S ribosomal RNA". It matches the Rfam family "Bacterial small subunit ribosomal RNA", at positions 524 to 776 of the family's 1533-position model. The record is from RNAcentral.